CCUACGGGAGGCAGCAGUGAGGAAUAUUGGUCAAUGGGCGAGAGCCUGAACCAGCCAAGUCGCGUGAGGGAGUACUGCCCUAUGGGUUGUAAACUUCUUUUAUAUGGGAAUAAAAUGUUCCACGUGUGGGAUUUUGUAUGUACCAUAUGAAUAAGGAUCGGCUAACUCCGUUCCAGCAGCCGCGGUAAUACGGAGGAUCCGAGCGUUAUCCGGAUUUAUUGGGUUUAAAGGGAGCGUAGGUGGAUUGUUAAGUCAGUUGUGAAAGUUUGCGGCUCAACCGUAAAAUUGCAGUUGAAACGGGCAGUCUUGAGUACAGUAGAGGUGGGCGGAAUGCGUGGUGUAGCGGUGAAAUGCUUAGAUAUCACGAAGAACUCCGAUUGCGAAGGCAGCUCACUGGACUGCAACUGACACUGAGGCUCGAAAGUGUGGGUAUCAAACAGGAUUAGAUACCCCUGUAGUC
This 460-nucleotide ribosomal RNA is filed under the name uncultured bacterium. RNAcentral's name for it is "partial 16S ribosomal RNA". It matches the Rfam family "Bacterial small subunit ribosomal RNA", at positions 338 to 795 of the family's 1533-position model. The record is from RNAcentral.